AAAUGCGAUAAGUAGUGUGAAUUGCAGAAUUCAGUGAAUCAUCGAAUCUUUGAACGCACAUUGCGCCCUUUGGUAUUCCUUAGGGCAUGCCUGUUCGAGCGUCAUUUAAACCUUCAAGCUCAGCUUGGUGAUGGGCGACUGUCCCCCCCCCUCGCGGGGGGGACUCGCCUCAAAAACAUUGGCGGCCGGUACAUUGGCUUCGAGCGCAGCAGAAACGCGGUCUCGAGCCCGGUGGAUUGGCUCCCAUAAGCCUAUUCUUUUAUUUUGACCUCGGAUCAGGUAGGGAUACCCGCUGAACUUAAGC
Molecule: unclassified non-coding RNA, 304 nt
Filed under: plant metagenome
Description: partial contains 5.8S ribosomal RNA, internal transcribed spacer 2, and large subunit ribosomal RNA
Rfam family: 5.8S ribosomal RNA (bases 1-104)
Source: RNAcentral